RNAcentral lists this ribosomal RNA (498 nucleotides) under uncultured bacterium. RNAcentral's name for it is "partial 16S ribosomal RNA". It matches the Rfam family "Bacterial small subunit ribosomal RNA", at positions 30 to 523 of the family's 1533-position model. The record is from RNAcentral.
AUUGAACGCUGGCGGCAUGCCUUACACAUGCAAGUCGAACGGUAACAGGUCUUCGGAUGCUGACGAGUGGCGAACGGGCGAGUAAUACAUCGGAACGUGCCUAGUAGUGGGGGAUAGCUACUCGAAAGAGUGGCUAAUACCGCAUGAGAUCUACGGAUGAAAGCAGGGGAUCGCAAGACCUUGUGCUACUAGAGCGGCCGAUGGCAGAUUAGGUAGUUGGUGGGAUAAAAGCUUACCAAGCCGACGAUCUGUAGCUGGUCUGAGAGGACGAUCAGCCACACUGGGACUGAGACACGGCCCAGACUCCUACGGGAGGCAGCAGUGGGGAAUUUUGGACAAUGGGCGAAAGCCUGAUCCAGCAAUGCCGCGUGCAGGAUGAAGGCCUACGGGUUGUAAACUGCUUUUGUACGGAACGAAAAGCCCCGGGUUAAUACCCUGGGGUCAUGACGGUACCGUAAGAAUAAGCACCGGCUAACUACGUGCCAGCCGCCGCAGUAA